This is a long non-coding RNA of Neoarius graeffei (lesser salmon catfish), 253 nucleotides long. RefSeq lists it as uncharacterized. The transcript is spliced from 3 exons. The record is from RefSeq and is a predicted model, not a curated record. NCBI's taxonomy places the organism in Eukaryota, Metazoa, Chordata, Actinopteri, Siluriformes, Ariidae.
AGAUGACGACUGAAAAUAAUCAGAAUCAGUUCACUAGUCCAAGUGAAAUGGAUCCAGUUGUCAACAGUGGAAAGUGUCAAAAUCAUCGCCUUGUGUGCACAACAGUAUCCUCCUUGGACAAGUGCAUUCAGUGCAUAGGACCUGUAUCCUCCUUCAAGUGGCUUGGCUAUAAAUGCAAAGUUUGUUCAGGCAUCUGGCAUAAAUCCUGCCUCAGACAAAUUACAAAUGAGAACUUCCACCACCUGUCACAGGU